This 460-nucleotide ribosomal RNA is filed under the name uncultured bacterium. RNAcentral's name for it is "partial 16S ribosomal RNA". It matches the Rfam family "Bacterial small subunit ribosomal RNA", at positions 338 to 795 of the family's 1533-position model. The record is from RNAcentral.
CCUACGGUGAGCAGCAGUGAGGAAUAUUGGUCAAUGGACGAGAGUCUGAACCAGCCAAGUAGCGUGAAGGAUGACUGCCCUAUGGGUUGUAAACUUCUUUUAUAAAGGAAUAAAACGAGGCACGUGUGCCUUUUUGCAUGUACUUUAUGAAUAAGGAUCGGUUAACUCCGUGCCAGCAGCCGCGGUAAUACGGAGGAUCCGAGCGUUAUCCGGAUUUAUUGGGUUUAAAGGGAGCGUAGAUGGGUUGGUAAGUCAGUUGUGAAAGUUUGCGGCUCAACCGUAAAAUUGCAAUUGAUACUGGCAGUCUUGAGUACAGUUGAGGUAGGCGGAAUUCGUGGUGUAGCGGUGAAAUGCGUAGAGAUCACGAAGAACCCCGAUUGCGAAGGCAGCUUACUAAACUGUGACUGACAUUGAUGCUCGAAAGUGUGGGUAUCAAACAGGAUUAGAUACCCCGGUAGUC